ACUUAAAUUAGUCCGUGCUUUCCAGAUGCGAGAGCAUAUAUGCUCGUCGCUAGUGUUAUUGGAAUAAUAGUAGCAGCUCCCAUCCAUCCUCUUUAUUAAUGUCAAUAGCUAGUAACAUCAAGAAGAAUAAACAUUGCAACAACAACUACUAUACAAAUACUGUACAACAACAGCAAAAUAACAAAAUCAAAUGUUAAGCGACGCUACUGGAGAAAAUAUCGCUUAUCGCUCCUGAUCUGCUUAAGUGAUGAGCCGCCCUCACCAGUUUGAAACUGUGCUGUGAGCUUAAACGUUGUUGUGUGCGCUGUUGCGUUUGACUUUCGGAAAAAUCAUAAAAUAAUACGUUAAUCAAGUGUUUUAAUUAAAUUUCGUAUUAACAUUAAAAAAAAAAAUAAAAUUAUUUAUAUAAAAUGCAGCCGAAAUUUUUGUUUUGUUUUCUUUUAUUCUGGAAUUCUGUAAUUUUUUGCUGCUUUGCCUUAAAUCAGUAUCAAAGCUAUGAAGAGGGGAUUUCAAGUACGGAUCGAAAUAUUUAUACGAAUUCAUUGCUGUGUAUGGACAUAAAGCCUCAACACUCUGUGGAUAUUGAACAAAUCACUGGAUUAUGGUAUGGUAACGAGAUCAUUAUUCAUACGCAGGAUAUUCCAGGUGUAUACCAGUAUGAUAGUUGCGUAAUAAUUCAUUUGAAUGACAUAACAGAACAAAUGCGAAAUUACUAUAAUAAUCACCAAUACACCAGUCAACGGCGAACACAAACCAACCAGCCACCUUCCCAACAUCAUCAACAACAACAGCAACAACAACAACCUCAGAGCCAGCGACCAUACAAUGACCAUACAGCAACACGAUACUUACGACUGAUAUGGAGUGAAAGUGAUAAUAAUCUGGAAUACAUGUUUAAUUAUACGGAAAGAAGUCCCGGCCUAUGGACAAAUGUAGGCGAGCAGCGCGGGUCAUUAGAGGCGCUAAAUUCAUAUAAACAAUUCAAAGGCACCGUACAGGUGGUAAAGGCGGUUAACGAUCAUUUGGUGCUGACAUUUUGCGGUAAUGAAAUGAGCGGCUCCAUUUACACACUCGUGCUGAGCAGAACGGAAAAAGGGCUGAGUUUAGAGGAAUUGCGUAGCAUCCGAGGUUUACUAUCCAGACGUGGCUUAUAUACGGAAACGAUUCGAAAGGUGUGCAGCUCAGCGGCUACAAGUUUGGGAGUUAUGAGUAGCUAUUCGUUGGCGCUGAUGGGAUUUUUCGCCAUUGCUAAAACUUAUUUUUGAAAACGAAUUAUUAAUUUAAGAUUUGAUGUUAGUUCAAGUUUGAAAUUUAUACUAAUUUUAUGUGCCUAAUUUUAUGCUUUAAUUUUGUAGUGUUUGUGCAACAUACUGAUUGGAAAAUAGCCAGCGGAAAAAAUUCAUUAAAUUUUGUGUACAAGAAUAAUACAUACAUACGAACGAUACACAGGAAAAUCAACUUUUAGAAGUUUUCUUGCUGUCAGCCCCCAGAACUAUAGAAAAUAGAAAACAAGGAGAGCGGAUAUUAUUAUUUUGCAAUCAGUUAAUAUUUCAGCUUUGAAAUGUUCUAUAUAUUUCAUAUUGGAUAAAUUAAUUUUUUUAUAAAAUUGCCAUAAAAUCGCUAAAAAUAUAUAUUCGAAAAAAAUUAAUUAAAAAUUAAUAUAUCGAAUGAAAAUAUUUCCCUUUAGAAGUAUUCCAUUAAUAGAAUAGAUAGAAAUUUACCUUUAAAAUGUUACUGAACUGUUAAUUCGAAAUGAGCGUAAUGUGCAUACAAACACAUAAAAUAGCUAAAUUCUGUAAAUACAUAAGAUUAUCGGUUAUGAAAAAGUACUUAGCAACAAUUUUGAAUUUAAAUAUGCAUCCGAAUUUUAUUUCUGAAGUGAAACAUUUUUUUUUGCAGCAAAAAACAUUUAUUUUUAGCUAUUUUAUAGCAGUUCUACGAAAAAAAUGUAUGUUCUUAGUAUAAAAUACAUACAUAUAUGGAAGGCUUCAAAACCCGACGGCACGGUUAAAUGUCAAACGAUUUCAAAAUAAAAAAUACUGGUCUACUUAUUUUCGAUAUUAAUUAGUUCGGGAGCUGACAUUAUUAUUUUUUUAUCAUCCUAAUGUGCAUAUGUUCAGUUUUGUACAUAUAUUAGUAUAGAUAGUAUAUGUAUAUAUGUUAAACAAUAACAACAAUAUUUUUUUUUGAAAUUGCGUCCAAUUAAAUUCAAUUCAAUUAAAUUAGUCCAACUCCAGUGUCAGAGUGAGAAACUAUGCGAAAGCUAUAUAGUAUAUACAUACAUAUGUUUGAGCCCAGAGAUAUUGCACACACACGAAAUACUUCCAUAUUUACGAGUAGGCGUAUAAUGCGUCUAAUUAAAUUAUUUGUGCAGCUAAUUAAGUUAAAUUACAAAAAACCAAAAAAAAAAUGUCUCGCAGAAAUUUCGUCUAAGAUUAGAUAAACGUUUCCAGCCUAUUAAGGAAAAUAAAAUAUACUGUUUCCUCUUACGUAACAGAUGCUGUCACACAGUAAAGUUUGAAUGAAACUUAAUUGUGAUUCUAGACUGUGUGACGUCUAACGGUUGCGAAAUGGAGGAAAAACAUACAUACAUAUA
This is an RNA transcript of Rhagoletis zephyria (snowberry fruit fly), 2596 nucleotides long. RefSeq lists it as uncharacterized. NCBI's taxonomy places the organism in Eukaryota, Metazoa, Arthropoda, Insecta, Diptera, Tephritidae. The record is from RefSeq and is a predicted model, not a curated record.